Molecule: long non-coding RNA, 572 nt
Filed under: Amphimedon queenslandica
Lineage: Eukaryota; Metazoa; Porifera; Demospongiae; Haplosclerida; Niphatidae
Description: uncharacterized LOC109584285, transcript variant X1
Source: RNAcentral
AGUCAACUUCAUGGUCAAAAAUUGCACAGGUAAUCUGACUUUUUGAGACAAAAACAAUUUGAAGUUGAUGCAAACUUGGUUGAAUUUUUUAAGUUUGCAUUUUGUGGCAAGUACAUUAAAGUUAUUAGGAUAUUGCGGUGCUAUUUAAGUUUAAUCUUGCAUAUUCAAACCCAUCCCCCUUUUUGACAUUUGGACGGCCGUCCAAAUGUCAAAAAGGGGGAUGGGUCUGGCUACGCGAAGCUAAUCAGAGGCUAUCACCUCGUCAAGACUUGUCACCUAAUGGAAUUGAGUGCAGUCUUUGCAGUAUCCACUGGAAUUAGCUGUAGUACAGUUUUCACAGGUUGUUUACAUGAACUACAGGAAAGGCUCCUGCUCCUUCUUCUGGUAACUCUGUACAAUGACGACAAGUGGGACAAGAGAGGUAAUAGAUCUCAUUCUCUUUAUCCAGAGGUAAUUUCACUAGACAGUGCUCACAGAAUGAAUGUAGACAAGGUAAAGUCUUAGGGUUGGUAUAGUGGUCAAGACACACAGGACAGGUGAGUUGUUCUUUCAGUUUGAGAAGACCAAGAGAA